RNAcentral lists this ribosomal RNA (464 nucleotides) under uncultured bacterium. RNAcentral's name for it is "partial 16S ribosomal RNA". It matches the Rfam family "Bacterial small subunit ribosomal RNA", at positions 28 to 507 of the family's 1533-position model. The record is from RNAcentral.
GACGAACGCUGGCGGCGUGCUUAACACAUGCAAGUCGAACGGAAAGGCCCCUUUGGGGGUACUCGAGUGGCGAACGGGUGAGUAACACGUGAGUAACCUGCCCUUGACUUCGGGAUAACUUCAGGAAACUGGGGCUAAUACCGGAUAGGAAUCCUUGCUGCAUGGUGGGGGUUGGAAAGCUUCGGCGGUUUUGGAUGGACUCGCGGCUUAUCAGCUUGUUGGUGGGGUAGUGGCUUACCAAGGCUUUGACGGGUAGCCGGCCUGAGAGGGCGACCGGCCACAUUGGGACUGAGAUACGGCCCAAACCCCUACGGGAGGCAGCAGUGGGGAAUAUUGGACAAUGGGCGGAAGCCUGAUGCAGCAACGCCGCGUGCGGGAUGACGGCCUUCGGGUUUUAAACCGCUUUCAGCAGGGGCGAAGCUUUUGUGACGGUACCUGCAGAAGAAGCACCGGCUAACUACGUG